AAUCAACGCUGGCGGCGUGCCUCAGACAUGCAAGUCGAACGCGAAAGUUCCCUUCGGGGAGCGAGUAGAGUGGCGCACGGGUGAGUAACACGUAGGUAAUUUACCUUCGGGUGGGGAAUAACAGCCGGAAACGGCUGCUAAUACCGCAUAAUGCAGCGGCUCGACAUCGAGACAGUUGUUAAAGCGGGGGAGUCGCAAGACCUCGCGCCUGAAGAGAAGCCUGCGGCAGAUUAGCUAGUUGGUGGGGUAAUGGCUCACCAAGGCGACGAUCUGUAGCCGGCCUGAGAGGGCGGUCGGCCACACUGACACUGACAUACGGGUCAGACUCCUACGGGAGGCAGCAGUCGGGAAUUUUGGGCAAUGGGCGAAAGCCUGACCCAGCAACGCCGCGUGAAGGAUGAAAUCCCUCGGGAUGUAAACUUCGCAAGAAU
RNAcentral lists this ribosomal RNA (431 nucleotides) under uncultured bacterium. Its description in RNAcentral is "bacterial SSU rRNA". It matches the Rfam family "Bacterial small subunit ribosomal RNA", at positions 32 to 441 of the family's 1533-position model. The record is from RNAcentral.